CCAGACUCCUACGGGAGGCAGCAGUGAGGAAUAUUGGUCAAUGGGCUUACGCCUGAACCAGCCAAGUCGCGUGAGGGAAGACGGUCCUACGGAUUGUAAACCUCUUUUGCCGGGGAGCAACGGGGUCCUUGCGAGGGCCCGAUGAGAGUACCCGGAGAAAAAGCAUCGGCUAACUCCGUGCCAGCAGCCGCGGUAAUACGGAGGAUGCGAGCGUUAUCCGGAUUUAUUGGGUUUAAAGGGUGCGCAGGCGGCGUGUCAAGCAAGCGGUAAAAUAGCGGGGCUCAACCCCGUCGAGCCGUUUGAACUGGCGCGCUUGAGUUCAGGCGAGGUAGGCGGAAUUCGUGGUGUAGCGGUGAAAUGCAUAGAUAUCACGCAGAACUCCGAUUGCGAAGGCAGCGUACCGGCUCCACACUGACGCUGAGGCACGAAAGCGUGGGUAUCGAACAGGAUUAGAUACCCUAGUAA
Molecule: ribosomal RNA, 465 nt
Filed under: uncultured bacterium
Lineage: Bacteria
Description: bacterial SSU rRNA
Rfam family: Bacterial small subunit ribosomal RNA
Source: RNAcentral